AUUUCAUAGGGCAGAUUCUGAGGUGAAAAUUUAGUUCAUCAUUGAUUGUCCUAUUAUGAAAUCUGAAG
Molecule: small nucleolar RNA, 68 nt
Organism: Mus musculus (house mouse)
Lineage: Eukaryota; Metazoa; Chordata; Mammalia; Rodentia; Muridae
Gene: Snord90
Product: small nucleolar RNA, C/D box 90
Exons: 1
Source: RefSeq, marked provisional